GGGGCAUUGGCGCAGUUGGCUAGCGCGCAUCCAUGGCAUGGAUGAGGUCAAGGGUUCGAAUCCCUUAUGCUCCACCA
This 77-nucleotide transfer RNA is filed under the name Candidatus Saccharimonadota bacterium. RNAcentral describes it as "tRNA-Ala". It matches the Rfam family "tRNA". Rfam says of the family: Transfer RNA (tRNA) molecules are approximately 80 nucleotides in length. Their secondary structure includes four short double-helical elements and three loops (D, anti-codon, and T loops). Further hydrogen bonds mediate the characteristic L-shaped molecular structure. tRNAs have two regions of fundamental functional importance: the anti-codon, which is responsible for specific mRNA codon recognition, and the 3' end, to which the tRNAs corresponding amino acid is attached (by aminoacyl-tRNA synthetases). tRNAs cope with the degeneracy of the genetic code in two manners: having more than one tRNA (with a specific anti-codon) for a particular amino acid; and 'wobble' base-pairing, i.e. permitting non-standard base-pairing at the 3rd anti-codon position. Lineage: Bacteria; Candidatus Saccharimonadota. RNAcentral also lists the same sequence under 3 other names. The record is from RNAcentral.